GCGGUAAGGGAUUUUGUCGUUGGGUGGGGGAGUAAACCCUUGGGAAACUGGGGCUAAUACCGCAUGAAGCCUGUGGGCCAAAAGUCAGAGAAUGCGCCUGAUGAGGGAGACCUGCGUCCGAUUAUGCUACGUUGGUUGGGUAGAGGCUGACCAAGGCGUCGAUCGGUAGGCUGGUCUGAGAGGAUGGAUCAGCCACACUGGGACUGAGACACGGCCCAGACUCCGUACGGGAGGCCAGCAGUUGGGGAAAUAUUGGACAAUGGGCGCAAGCCUGAUCCAGCAAUGCCGCGUGGAUGAAGA
Molecule: ribosomal RNA, 300 nt
Filed under: uncultured bacterium
Lineage: Bacteria
Description: bacterial SSU rRNA
Rfam family: Bacterial small subunit ribosomal RNA
Source: RNAcentral